GUUGUGGCUCAGUGGCAGAGUGUUCGCCUAGCACCUGUUAGGCCCUGGGUUCAAUCCUCAGCACACA
RNAcentral lists this transfer RNA (67 nucleotides) under Marmota monax (woodchuck). Its description in RNAcentral is "tRNA.Ala". The record is from RNAcentral. Lineage: Eukaryota; Metazoa; Chordata; Mammalia; Rodentia; Sciuridae.